Molecule: ribosomal RNA, 500 nt
Filed under: uncultured bacterium
Lineage: Bacteria
Description: partial 16S ribosomal RNA
Rfam family: Bacterial small subunit ribosomal RNA
Source: RNAcentral
GACGAACGCUGGCGGCGUGCUUAACACAUGCAAGUCGAACGGGUCUGCCCUGUUUUUUGCGGGGUGGGUCCGUGGCGAACGGGUGAGUAACACGUGAGUAACCUGCCCCUCACUUCUGGAUAACCGCUUGAAAGGGUGGCUAAUACGGGGUGUUCUGGCUGUGCCGCAUGGUGUGGCUGGGAAAGAUUCACUUUUGUGGUGUUUUGGUGGGGGAUGGGCUCGCGGCCUAUCAGCUUGUUGGUGGGGUGAUGGCCUGCCAAGGCUUUGACGGGUAGCCGGCCUGAGAGGGUGGGCGGUCACACUGGGACUGAGAUACGGCCCAGACUCCUGCGGGAGGCAGCAGUGGGGGGUAUUGCACAAUGGGCGGAAGCCUGAUGCAGCGACGUCGCGUGAGGGAUGGAGGCCUUCAGGUUGUGAACCUCUUUCGCCGGUGAAGAAGGUCCUGCUCUUUGUGGUGGGGUUGACGGUAGCCGGGUUAUGAAGCGCCGGCUAACUACGUG